GGACUACCCGGGUUUCUAAUCCCGUUCGCUACCCUAGCUUUCGUGCCUCAGCGUCAGAAGAGACCCAGUGAGCCGCUUUCGCCACGGGUGUUCCUUAGGAUAUCAACGCAUUUCACCGCUCCACCCUAAGUUCCGCUCACCUCUAUCUCCCUCGAGCACGGUAGUUUUGGGCGCAGUUCCUCGGUUGAGCCGAGGGAUUUCACACCCAACUUUCCGCGCCGCCUACGCACCCUUUAAGCCCAGUAAUUCCGAAUAACGUUUGUGUGGUUCGUCUUACCGCGGCUGCUGGCAC
This 292-nucleotide ribosomal RNA is filed under the name uncultured Planctomycetota bacterium. Its description in RNAcentral is "uncultured planctomycete partial 16S ribosomal RNA". Lineage: Bacteria; Pseudomonadati; Planctomycetota. The record is from RNAcentral.